UCCUGGGAUAACACUGACGUUCAUGCUCGAAAGCGUGGGUAGCAAACAGGAUUAGAUACCCUGGUAGUCCACGCCCUAAACGAUGUCAAUUAGCUGUUGGGCAACUUGAUUGCUUAGUAGCGUAGCUAACGCGUGAAAUUGACCGCCUGGGGAGUACGGUCGCAAGAUUAAAACUCAAAGGAAUUGACGGGGACCCGCACAAGCGGUGGAUGAUGUGGAUUAAUUCGAUGCAACGCGAAGAACCUUACCUGGUCUUGACAUGUACGGAAUCCUCCAGAGACGGAGGAGUGCCUUCGGGAGCCGUAACACAGGUGCUGCAUGGCUGUCGUCAGCUCGUGUCGUGAGAUGUUGGGUUAAGUCCCGCAACGAGCGCAACCCUUGUCAUUAGUUGCCAUCAUUAAGUUGGGCACUCUAAUGAGACUGCCGGUGACAAGCCGGAGGAAGGUGGGGAUGACGUCAAGUCCUCAUGGCCCUUAUGACCAGGGCUUCACACGUCAUACAAUGGUCGGUACAGAGGGUAGCCAAGCCGCGAGGUGGAGCCAAUCUCACAAAACCGAUUGUAGUCCGGAUUGCACUCUGCAACUCGAGUGCAUGAAGUCGGAAUCGCUAGUAAUCGCAGGUCAGCAUACUGCGGUGAAUACGUUCCCGGGUCUUGUACACACCGCCCGUCACACCAUGGGAGUGGGGGAUACCAGAAGUAGGUAGGGUAACCGCAAGGAGCCCGCUUACCACGGUAUGCUUCAUGACUGGGGUGAAGUCGUAACAAGGUAGCCGUAGGGGAACC
This 784-nucleotide ribosomal RNA is filed under the name uncultured Neisseria sp. RNAcentral's name for it is "bacterial SSU rRNA". It matches the Rfam family "Bacterial small subunit ribosomal RNA", at positions 727 to 1512 of the family's 1533-position model. The record is from RNAcentral. Lineage: Bacteria; Pseudomonadati; Pseudomonadota; Betaproteobacteria; Neisseriales; Neisseriaceae.